CAUUUGAAACUGGUUGACUAGAGUUUUGUAGAGGGUGGUAGAAUUUCAGGUGUAGCGGUGAAAUGCGUAGAGAUCUGAAGGAAUACCAGUGGCGAAGGCGGCCACCUGGACAAAGACUGACACUGAGGCGCGAAGGCGUGGGGAGCAAACGGGAUUAGAUACCCCGGUAGUCCACGCAGUAAACGAUGUCUAUUAGAAGUUUGUGGCUAUAUGCCGUGGGUUUCAAAGCUAACGCAUUAAAUAGACCGCCUGGGGAGUACGGCCGCAAGGUUAAAACUCAAAUGAAUUGACGGGGGCCCGCACAAGCGGUGGAGCAUGUGGUUUAAUUCGAUGCAACGCGAAGAACCUUACCAUCCCUUGACAUCCAGAGAAUCACCUAGAGAUAGAUGAGUGCCUUCGGGAACUCUGAGACAGGUGCUGCAUGGCUGUCGUCAGCUCGUGUUGUGAAAUGUUGGGUUAAGUCCCGCAACGAGCGCAACCCUUAUCCUUAGUUGCCAGCACGUAAUGGUGGGAACUCUAGGGAGACUGCCGGUGAUAAACCGGAGGAAGGUGGGGACGACGUCAAGUCAUCAUGGCCCUUACGGGAUGGGCUACACACGUGCUACAAUGGCAAAUACAAAGGGUUGCUAACCUGCGAGGGUAUGCGAAUCUCAUAAAGUUUGUCGUAGUCCGGAUCGGAGUCUGCAACUCGACUCCGUGAAGUUGGAAUCGCUAGUAAUCGUGGAUCAGAAUGCCACGGUGAAUACGUUCCCGGGCCUUGUACACACCGCCCGUCACACCAUGGGAGUGGGCUGCACCAGAAGUCAUUAGCUUAACCUUCGGGAUGGCAAUGACCACGGUGUGGUUCAUGACUGGGGUGAA
RNAcentral lists this ribosomal RNA (861 nucleotides) under Alteromonadales bacterium. Its description in RNAcentral is "bacterial SSU rRNA". It matches the Rfam family "Bacterial small subunit ribosomal RNA", at positions 624 to 1484 of the family's 1533-position model. The record is from RNAcentral. Lineage: Bacteria; Pseudomonadati; Pseudomonadota; Gammaproteobacteria; Alteromonadales.